This 119-nucleotide ribosomal RNA is filed under the name Beta vulgaris subsp. vulgaris (sugar beet). The record is from RNAcentral. Lineage: Eukaryota; Viridiplantae; Streptophyta; Magnoliopsida; Caryophyllales; Amaranthaceae.
AGGUGUGAUCAUAACAGCACUAAUGCACCAGAUCCCAACAAAACUCAGCAGUUAAGUGUGCUUGGGCGAGAGUAGUACUAGGAUGGGUGACAUCCUAGGAAGUCCUCGUGUUGCCCCCU